RNAcentral lists this ribosomal RNA (368 nucleotides) under Gymnarchus niloticus. Its description in RNAcentral is "partial 12S rRNA". It matches the Rfam family "Bacterial small subunit ribosomal RNA", at positions 801 to 1370 of the family's 1533-position model. Lineage: Eukaryota; Metazoa; Chordata; Actinopteri; Osteoglossiformes; Gymnarchidae. The record is from RNAcentral.
AUAAACNUUGNCAAUAAUGUACAAAUAUUAUCCGCCAGGGAACUACAAGCGCAUUGUUCGAAACCCAACGGACUUGGCGGUGCCCCACACCCACCUAGAGGAGCCUGUUCUAUAACUGACACUCCCCGUUUAACCUCACCAUCCCUAGCCAAAUCAGUCUAUAUACCACCGUCGCAAGCUCACCCUAUGAAGGACCAACAGUAAGCAAAAUGGGCACAACCCAGCACGUCAGGUCGAGGUGUAGCACAUGGGAUGGAAAGAAAUGGGCUACAUUCUCUGCCUAACAGAGUACACGAACACUACCAUGAAACUGGAAAUUGAAGGAGGAUUUAGCAGUAAAAAGAAAAUAGAGAGUUCUUUUGAAGCUG